GUGUCAGCAGCCGCGGUAAUACGUAGGGCGCAAGCGUUGUCCGGAAUUAUUGGGCGUAAAGAGCUCGUAGGCGGUUUGUCGCGUCUGCUGUGAAAACCUAAGGCUCAACCUUGGGCUUGCAGUGGGUACGGGCAGACUAGAGUGCGGUAGGGGUGACUGGAAUUCCUGGUGUAGCGGUGGAAUGCGCAGAUAUCAGGAGGAACACCGAUGGCGAAGGCAGGUCACUGGGCCGCAACUGACGCUGAGGAGCGAAAGCAUGGGGAGCGAACAGGAUUAGAAACCCUCGUAGUCC
RNAcentral lists this ribosomal RNA (292 nucleotides) under uncultured bacterium. RNAcentral's name for it is "partial 16S ribosomal RNA". It matches the Rfam family "Bacterial small subunit ribosomal RNA", at positions 505 to 796 of the family's 1533-position model. The record is from RNAcentral.